RNAcentral lists this long non-coding RNA (823 nucleotides) under Equus asinus (donkey). Its description in RNAcentral is "lncRNA (ENSEASG00005028059.1, ENSEASG00020033734.1)". Lineage: Eukaryota; Metazoa; Chordata; Mammalia; Perissodactyla; Equidae. The record is from RNAcentral.
GCUCUUUUAGCAUACUCAAACAAGAGGUCUUGGUUUGAAAGGUAGGGUGAGGAGUAUUGUAUUGGGGAUCAUUGUCCUGGAAAGGCGAAUAGAGCAAGAAAGAAGAUGGAUGAUAAUGGAGUUUGGCGACUUGGAUGGGAUAAAAUUCCACUGGCUGGACACUGUUGGCUCCUGUACCACUGCAGCUGAGAGAUCCUGGACCCCUGACAAGAGCUGGCAGGAAGUAGGAGUUCUUACCACAUCAGUCUCCCAGAUCUCUGCUUGCAGGGUCCAAAGGAAGCAAGAGUGGACACAAUUGGAAACAUUGGUUAUAUUACCAGAGCUUUGACUGGAAUGUCAUAUUUGAGAGAAACAUACAUAGACUCAGAGAUGGCCAGACAGCUUUUGAGGAAGAAGAUUGGACUUUAUGAAAUAAAGCCUCUUGGAAAUAUUGGCCUGCUACCUUGUUUACAGGGUUUCCAGCAACCUCAGCCCUGCAAACUGAAGCCGAAUAACUUAAUAUAAACUUAAGAGAGAUCACCAUGAUAGCAUGCCUGCUGCUGUGUAAGCCACUUAAAAGAAUACCUGAAUACUCAAGGACAUCACCAGAGACAUUUCAAGCUGCAAAAGAUGCUUCAACUCUGACGUCUAAAAGUCUUGACUGGCUGUCCCCUGGGAUCAGAAACCGGUUUAUAAUUCACUGCAACCAUUAACAUUGUUUUUCUUUUUGUUUCGUGGAAAUGCUUCUCACUAAAACCCUGAUUGCUUGCUUCCACAAUACAGGCCUGACUUUGGGAGCCCACCUGCAUCACUGGCUUCUAAAACGGAUUUAAUGGGAUUGUUC